This 416-nucleotide ribosomal RNA is filed under the name uncultured bacterium. RNAcentral describes it as "bacterial SSU rRNA". It matches the Rfam family "Bacterial small subunit ribosomal RNA", at positions 355 to 787 of the family's 1533-position model. The record is from RNAcentral.
UGGGGAAUAUUGCACAAUGGGGGAAAGCUCUGACGCAGUGACGCCGCGUAUAGGAAGAAGGUUUUCGGAUUGUAAACUAUUGUCGUUAGGGAAGAAAAAAUGACAGUACCUAAGGAGGAAGCUCCGGCUAACUACGUGCCAGCAGCCACGGUAAUACGUAGGGAGCAAGCGUUAUCCGGAUUUAUUGGGUGUAAAGGGUGCGUAGACGGGCGAUCAAGUUAGUUGUGAAAUCCCUCGGCUCAACUGAGGAACUGCAACUAAACUGGUUGUCUUGAGUGCAGGAGAGGUAAGUGGAAUUCCUAGUGUAGCGGUGAAAUGCGUAGAUAUUAGGAGGAACACCAGUGGCGAAGGCGACUUACUGGACUGUAACUGACGUUGAGGCACGAAAGUGUGGGGAGCAACAGGAUUAGAUACCC